This 174-nucleotide ribosomal RNA is filed under the name Nyctimantis bokermanni (Bokermann's casque-headed frog). RNAcentral describes it as "partial 16S ribosomal RNA". The record is from RNAcentral. Lineage: Eukaryota; Metazoa; Chordata; Amphibia; Anura; Hylidae.
ACGUGAUCUGAGUUCAGACCGGAGUAAUCCAGGUCAGUUUCUAUCUAUAAAGGAGCUCUUUCCAGUACGAAAGGACCGAAAAAGCAUGGCCAAUACUUUAUGCAAGCCAUAGUUACUAAUUUAUGACUUAACCUCAAUAAAUAGAUAAUCCACCCUAAAGCUCAAAAAAAGAGC